AUGGCCGACGCCGCCGACUUCCAGCAGCUGCAGAUGGUGCCGUACGACGGCGGCAACAACGACGGCCUACCCGAGCGAUUCCCAGGGGGACAUGGCUUCCAGAUGCAACCAGGGUGCGCUGGCGACAACUACUCGGGCGGCUGUGAUGGGAUGAUCGCGCCGGGCCUCGCCAAUGCUGACUACAACUACUCGGGCUGCGGCGACCGGAUGCUCGCUCCGGACUUCGCCGAUGCUGGCUACAAGUACGACUACUCGGGCGGCGGCGACGGGAUGCUCACGCUGGGCCCCGCCAAUGCUGGCUGCAACUACUCGGGCGGCGGCGACGGGAUGCUCACGCUGGGCCCCGCUAAUGCUGGCUGCAACUACUCGAGCGGCGGCGACGGGAUGCUCGCGCGCGGCUUCGCCAAUGCUGGCUACGACUGCUCGGGCGGCGGCGGCCAGAUGCUCGCGCCGGGCUUCGGCAACGCUGGUUACAACUUACAACUGGCCUGA
RNAcentral lists this ribosomal RNA (492 nucleotides) under Triticum aestivum (bread wheat). RNAcentral describes it as "partial small subunit ribosomal RNA". The record is from RNAcentral. Lineage: Eukaryota; Viridiplantae; Streptophyta; Magnoliopsida; Poales; Poaceae.